This 397-nucleotide ribosomal RNA is filed under the name uncultured bacterium. RNAcentral describes it as "partial 16S ribosomal RNA". It matches the Rfam family "Bacterial small subunit ribosomal RNA", at positions 523 to 918 of the family's 1533-position model. The record is from RNAcentral.
AUACGUAGGGGGCGAGCGUUGUCCGGAAUGAUUGGGCGUAAAGGGCGCGUAGGCGGCGCGGUAUGUCUGGAGUGAAAGUCCUGCUUUCAAGGUGGGAAUUGCUUUGGAUACUGCCGCGCUUGAGUGCAGGAGAGGUUAUCGGAAUUCCCGGUGUAGCGGUGAAAUGCGUAGAGAUCGGGAGGAACACCAGUGGCGAAGGCGGGUAACUGGACUGCAACUGACGCUGAGGCGCGAAAGUGUGGGGAGCAAACAGGAUUAGAUACCCUGGUAGUCCACACUGUAAACGAUGAAUGCUAGGUGUAAGAGGUAUCGACCCCUUUUGUGCCGGAGUCAACACAAUAAGCAUUCCGCCUGGGGAGUACGGCCGCAAGGUUGAAACUCAAAUGAAUGGGCGGGG